CGGGGAUUUGCGCAUGGGCGCAGCCUGAUGCAGCGACGCCGCGUGGGGGAUGAAGGCCUUCGGGUUGUAAACCCCUUUCGACCGGGACGAUUGUGACGGUACCGGUGGAAGAAGCCCCGGCUAACUCCCUGGCAGCAGCCGCGGUAAUAGCCCCGGUAAUAAACCGC
This 167-nucleotide ribosomal RNA is filed under the name uncultured bacterium. Its description in RNAcentral is "partial 16S ribosomal RNA". It matches the Rfam family "Bacterial small subunit ribosomal RNA", at positions 356 to 537 of the family's 1533-position model. The record is from RNAcentral.